CAAAAGAGAGAAGAGGGAGAUGAAAAGAGGAAUAAAAGAAGAAGAAAGAAAACAUAAGGGAGGGGAUCGAUUGAGUGUUAGAAGAAAAAGGAGGAUGAACAAAUGAGAAUGGGAGUUUGAUUUUGCUGCUUUUGAAACUGAACUGUGAGAAGGCAAAGGGAGGAAGUUUUCAGAAGUGAUGGGUUUCCGUUCGGGUUGUUUAGUAUCUAUGGUUGUCUUGCUUUAGGAGGGCGAGAUUGGCACACAGGGGAGACGCUUUGAACACAAAGUAACAAUGUUGUAAAUUUUUAUUCCCAAAGGAAACUUGAUGGUACAAAAGGAUUUGUGAAGGAAGACUCACUGCUAGUAGUGUAGUGGAGAAAAACAGAAGGCUUUUUUGUAAAAAUUUAUGAUAUGCUAAAGGAUCAUUGAGAUCGGUAUGUGAAGCAUGGCAUAUCUAGUAUGUGAGAUCUAGAAAGUGUUGCCAAAUCUACGAGAUGUUGUAGGCAUGCUUAAAAGUUAUGGAAGCAUGUAAAGAUAUAUCAAGUGUGAUAUUCUAUAAGCAUGCUUAAAAGUAGUGAAAGCAUGUAACGGCUCUAAUUGCGAAAGCGUAAGAGAUAAGACAUAGUAACUUAUCUUAUGCCGAUUUGGAGGCUAGCGGAGUUGGCCGAGCAUGGCGGUCCAUUGCUUGUGGCAGAUAAAGUAUUCCGAUAAUGUACGUCAACUCGUAGUUGAGAUCGAAUGCUCCAUAGAAAUAAUUGAAUUUCCUUGAAACAAAAUAGAUGAUUAAUAUGUAGAUUUGUAAAAUCAACAUCAAUAAUUUGCAUAUGUACUUUGAUAAAAUUAUAAGCAAAGUGUAUAUGCAAAACUUUAGUUGGCAACAAAUGAUA
Molecule: long non-coding RNA, 869 nt
Organism: Rosa chinensis
Lineage: Eukaryota; Viridiplantae; Streptophyta; Magnoliopsida; Rosales; Rosaceae
Exons: 4
Source: RefSeq, a predicted model, not a curated record